RNAcentral lists this ribosomal RNA (497 nucleotides) under uncultured bacterium. RNAcentral's name for it is "partial 16S ribosomal RNA". It matches the Rfam family "Bacterial small subunit ribosomal RNA", at positions 28 to 507 of the family's 1533-position model. The record is from RNAcentral.
GACGAACGCUGGCGGCGUGCCUAAUACAUGCAAGUUGAGCGCUGAAGGCUGGUACUUGUACCAACUGGAUGAGCAGCGAACGGGUGAGUAACGCGUGGGGAAUCUGCCUUUGAGCGGGGGACAACAUUUGGAAACGAAUGCUAAUACCGCAUAAAAACUUUAAACACAAGUUUUAAGUUUGAAAGAUGCAAUUGCAUCACUCAAAGAUGAUCCCGCGUUGUAUUAGCUAGUUGGUGAGGUAAAGGCUUACCAAGGCGAUGAUACAUAGCCGACCUGCGAGGGUGAUCGGCCACAUUGGGACGGAGACACGGCUCAAACUCCUGCGGGAGGCAGCAGUAGGGAAUCUUCGGCAAGUGGCGAAAGUCUGACCGUGCAACGCCGCGUGAGUGAAGAAGGUUUUCGGAUCGUAGAACUCUGUUGGUAGAUAAGAACGUUGGUGAGAGUGGAAAGCUCAUCAAGUGACGGUAACUACCCAGAAAGGGACGGCUAACUACGUG